UUUCGGCGUUGACUCCAAUUGAACCGCAGGCUUCACCCCUUGUGGUGCUCCCCCGCCAAUUCCUUUAAGUUUCAUACUUGCGUACGUACUUCCCAGGCGGCAAACUUAACGGCUUCCCUGCGGCACUGCACUGGCCAAAAGCCAGUGCAUCACCGAGUCUGCAUCGUUUACAGCUGGGACUACCCGGGUAUCUAAUCCGGUUUGCUCCCCCAGCUUUCAUCCCUCACCGUCGAACGUGUUCUGGUAGACCGCCUUCGCCACAGGUGGUCAUCAAGAGAUCAAAGGAUUUUACCCCUUCCUCCCGAGUACCGUCUACCUCUCCCACUCCCUAGUUCUGCAGUAUUUCCGGCAGCCCAUUAGUUGAGCUAGUGGAUUUAACCGGAAACUUACAGAACCGGCUACGGAUGCUUUAGGCCCAACAAUCCUCCUGACCACUUGAGGUGCUGGUUUUACCGCGGCGGCUGACACCAGAACUUGCCCACCCCUUAUUCAUCAGUGGUUUUAGAACUAACAAAAGAUUCCUUUAGCAGGAAACACUCGGAUUAACCUUGUCGUGCUUGCGCACAUUGCAAAGGUUUCUCGCCUGCUGCGCCCCAUAGGGCCUGGGUCCGUGUCUCAGUACCCAUCUCCGGGCUUCUCCUCUCAGAGCCCGUACCUGUAAUAGCCUUGGUGGGCCAUUACCUCACCAACAAGCUGAUAGGCCGCAGUCCCAUCCUAUGGCGACGAAUCAUUUGGACCAUAAACCGUUCCAGGCAUUAUGAUCUAUCGCGGAUUAUUCUCAGUUUCCCGAGGUUAUCCACGUCCAUAGGGCAGAUUGACUACGUGUUACUGAGCCGUAUGCCUUGUAUUGCUACAAUGACUCACAUGGCUUAGUACCAAUCCGAUAGCAGUCAGGU
This 896-nucleotide ribosomal RNA is filed under the name uncultured archaeon. RNAcentral's name for it is "16S ribosomal RNA". The record is from RNAcentral.